Molecule: ribosomal RNA, 2657 nt
Filed under: Klebsiella pneumoniae subsp. pneumoniae LCT-KP214
Lineage: Bacteria; Pseudomonadati; Pseudomonadota; Gammaproteobacteria; Enterobacterales; Enterobacteriaceae
Description: bacterial LSU rRNA
Rfam family: Bacterial large subunit ribosomal RNA
Source: RNAcentral
CACUAUCGUUAACUGAAUACAUAGGUUAACGAGGCGAACCGGGGGAACUGAAACAUCUAAGUACCCCGAGGAAAAGAAAUCAACCGAGAUUCCCCCAGUAGCGGCGAGCGAACGGGGAGCAGCCCAGAGUCUGAAUCAGCUUGUGUGUUAGUGGAACGGUCUGGAAAGUCCGACGGUACAGGGUGAUAGUCCCGUACACCAAAAUGCACAGGUUGUGAACUCGAAGAGUAGGGCGGGACACGUGGUAUCCUGUCUGAAUAUGGGGGGACCAUCCUCCAAGGCUAAAUACUCCUGACUGACCGAUAGUGAACCAGUACCGUGAGGGAAAGGCGAAAAGAACCCCGGCGAGGGGAGUGAAAAAGAACCUGAAACCGUGUACGUACAAGCAGUGGGAGCACCUUCGGGUGUGACUGCGUACCUUUUGUAUAAUGGGUCAGCGACUUAUAUUCUGUAGCAAGGUUAACCGUAUAGGGGAGCCGCAGGGAAACCGAGUCUUAACUGGGCGUUAAGUUGCAGGGUAUAGACCCGAAACCCGGUGAUCUAGCCAUGGGCAGGUUGAAGGUUGGGUAACACUAACUGGAGGACCGAACCGACUAAUGUUGAAAAAUUAGCGGAUGACUUGUGGCUGGGGGUGAAAGGCCAAUCAAACCGGGAGAUAGCUGGUUCUCCCCGAAAGCUAUUUAGGUAGCGCCUCGUGAACUCAUCUUCGGGGGUAGAGCACUGUUUCGGCUAGGGGGUCAUCCCGACUUACCAACCCGAUGCAAACUACGAAUACCGAAGAAUGUUAUCACGGGAGACACACGGCGGGUGCUAACGUCCGUCGUGAAGAGGGAAACAACCCAGACCGCCAGCUAAGGUCCCAAAGUCAUGGUUAAGUGGGAAACGAUGUGGGAAGGCACAGACAGCCAGGAUGUUGGCUUAGAAGCAGCCAUCAUUUAAAGAAAGCGUAAUAGCUCACUGGUCGAGUCGGCCUGCGCGGAAGAUGUAACGGGGCUAAACCAUGCACCGAAGCUGCGGCAGCGACACUAUGUGUUGUUGGGUAGGGGAGCGUUCUGUAAGCCUGCGAAGGUGACCUGUGAGGGUUGCUGGAGGUAUCAGAAGUGCGAAUGCUGACAUAAGUAACGAUAAAGCGGGUGAAAAGCCCGCUCGCCGGAAGACCAAGGGUUCCUGUCCAACGUUAAUCGGGGCAGGGUGAGUCGACCCCUAAGGCGAGGCCGAAAGGCGUAGUCGAUGGGAAACAGGUUAAUAUUCCUGUACUUGGUGUUACUGCGAAGGGGGGACGGAGAAGGCUAUGUUAGCCGGGCGACGGUUGUCCCGGUUUAAGCAUGUAGGCUGGUUGUCCAGGCAAAUCCGGAUAAUCAAGGCUGAGGUGUGAUGACGAGGCACUACGGUGCUGAAGUAACAAAUGCCCUGCUUCCAGGAAAAGCCUCUAAGCAUCAGGUAACAUCAAAUCGUACCCCAAACCGACACAGGUGGUCAGGUAGAGAAUACCAAGGCGCUUGAGAGAACUCGGGUGAAGGAACUAGGCAAAAUGGUGCCGUAACUUCGGGAGAAGGCACGCUGGUGUGUAGGUGAAGCCCCUGCGGGUGGAGCUGAGACCAGUCGAAGAUACCAGCUGGCUGCAACUGUUUAUUAAAAACACAGCACUGUGCAAACACGAAAGUGGACGUAUACGGUGUGACGCCUGCCCGGUGCCGGAAGGUUAAUUGAUGGGGUUAUCCGUAAGGAGAAGCUCUUGAUCGAAGCCCCGGUAAACGGCGGCCGUAACUAUAACGGUCCUAAGGUAGCGAAAUUCCUUGUCGGGUAAGUUCCGACCUGCACGAAUGGCGUAAUGAUGGCCAGGCUGUCUCCACCCGAGACUCAGUGAAAUUGAACUCGCUGUGAAGAUGCAGUGUACCCGCGGCAAGACGGAAAGACCCCGUGAACCUUUACUAUAGCUUGACACUGAACAUUGAGCCUUGAUGUGUAGGAUAGGUGGGAGGCUUUGAAGCGUGGACGCCAGUCUGCGUGGAGCCAACCUUGAAAUACCACCCUUUAAUGUUUGAUGUUCUAACGUUGGCCCCUGACCGGGGUUGCGGACAGUGUCUGGUGGGUAGUUUGACUGGGGCGGUCUCCUCCCAAAGCGUAACGGAGGAGCACGAAGGUUAGCUAAUCCUGGUCGGACAUCAGGAGGUUAGUGCAAUGGCAUAAGCUAGCUUGACUGCGAGCGUGACGGCGCGAGCAGGUGCGAAAGCAGGUCAUAGUGAUCCGGUGGUUCUGAAUGGAAGGGCCAUCGCUCAACGGAUAAAAGGUACUCCGGGGAUAACAGGCUGAUACCGCCCAAGAGUUCAUAUCGACGGCGGUGUUUGGCACCUCGAUGUCGGCUCAUCACAUCCUGGGGCUGAAGUAGGUCCCAAGGGUAUGGCUGUUCGCCAUUUAAAGUGGUACGCGAGCUGGGUUUAGAACGUCGUGAGACAGUUCGGUCCCUAUCUGCCGUGGGCGCUGGAGAAUUGAGGGGGGCUGCUCCUAGUACGAGAGGACCGGAGUGGACGCAUCACUGGUGUUCGGGUUGUCAUGCCAAUGGCACUGCCCGGUAGCUAAAUGCGGAAGAGAUAAGUGCUGAAAGCAUCUAAGCACGAAACUUGCCCCGAGAUGAGUUCUCCCUGAGACUAUAAGUC